This 802-nucleotide ribosomal RNA is filed under the name uncultured Acinetobacter sp. Its description in RNAcentral is "bacterial SSU rRNA". It matches the Rfam family "Bacterial small subunit ribosomal RNA", at positions 1 to 797 of the family's 1533-position model. The record is from RNAcentral. Lineage: Bacteria; Pseudomonadati; Pseudomonadota; Gammaproteobacteria; Moraxellales; Moraxellaceae.
GUGAUUAGAGUUUGAUCCUGGCUCAGAUUGAACGCUGGCGGCAGGCUUAACACAUGCAAGUCGAGCGGAGAGAGGUAGCUUGCUACCGAUCUUAGCGGCGGACGGGUGAGUAAUGCUUAGGAAUCUGCCUAUUAGUGGGGGACAACAUUUCGAAAGGAAUGCUAAUACCGCAUACGUCCUACGGGAGAAAGCAGGGGAUCUUCGGACCUUGCGCUAAUAGAUGAGCCUAAGUCGGAUUAGCUAGUUGGUGGGGUAAAGGCCUACCAAGGCGACGAUCUGUAGCGGGUCUGAGAGGAUGAUCCGCCACACUGGGACUGAGACACGGCCCAGACUCCUACGGGAGGCAGCAGUGGGGAAUAUUGGACAAUGGGCGCAAGCCUGAUCCAGCCAUGCCGCGUGUGUGAAGAAGGCCUUAUGGUUGUAAAGCACUUUAAGCGAGGAGGAGGCUACUUUAGUUAAUACCUAGAGAUAGUGGACGUUACUCGCAGAAUAAGCACCGGCUAACUCUGUGCCAGCAGCCGCGGUAAUACAGAGGGUGCAAGCGUUAAUCGGAUUUACUGGGCGUAAAGCGCGCGUAGGCGGCUAAUUAAGUCAAAUGUGAAAUCCCCGAGCUUAACUUGGGAAUUGCAUUCGAUACUGGUUAGCUAGAGUGUGGGAGAGGAUGGUAGAAUUCCAGGUGUAGCGGUGAAAUGCGUAGAGAUCUGGAGGAAUACCGAUGGCGAAGGCAGCCAUCUGGCCUAACACUGACGCUGAGGUGCGAAAGCAUGGGGAGCAAACAGGAUUAGAUACCCUGGUAGAAUCG